Molecule: non-coding RNA, 71 nt
Organism: Phrynosoma platyrhinos (Desert horned lizard)
Lineage: Eukaryota; Metazoa; Chordata; Lepidosauria; Squamata; Phrynosomatidae
Source: the annotation of a GenBank genome assembly
ACCAGCAUGGCAUAGUGAUUAGAGUGCUGGACUAUGACUCUGGAGACCUGGGUUCAAUUACCCAAUUGGCC